This is a long non-coding RNA of Xiphias gladius (swordfish), 253 nucleotides long. RefSeq lists it as uncharacterized. The record is from RefSeq and is a predicted model, not a curated record. The transcript has 3 exons. NCBI's taxonomy places the organism in Eukaryota, Metazoa, Chordata, Actinopteri, Istiophoriformes, Xiphiidae.
GGGGCAGGGAUAGCCGCUAGGGUUGGGCUGAUGCUUGGAUUCAAAUAGGGAAAAACCGGGCCGGUGCGGCAGUGCUCUGUACCGUCGGCCCAGUGUUGUCCCGUCCAGUGUCUCCUGCUGUUGUUGCUCUUCAUAUUGCUCACCUGUGUGUUACCCUGAGCGAAGGCCUCCUGAACAUCCCCUCCCACGCCCAUGAGUGAGUCCUGAGGUGUGUGAGUCGGGGUUGUGCCGGCAGAGUCCGAGUGGAUUGGUG